Molecule: transfer RNA, 74 nt
Filed under: Fidelibacterota bacterium
Lineage: Bacteria; Pseudomonadati; Fidelibacterota
Description: tRNA-Arg
Rfam family: tRNA
About the family: Transfer RNA (tRNA) molecules are approximately 80 nucleotides in length.
Source: RNAcentral
GCACCCAUAGCUCAACUGGAUAGAGCGUCUGGCUACGGACCAGGAGGUUUGGGGUUCGAAUCCCUAUGGGUGUA